Odocoileus virginianus texanus is the source of this 1690-nucleotide non-coding RNA. The record is from RefSeq and is a predicted model, not a curated record. Lineage: Eukaryota; Metazoa; Chordata; Mammalia; Artiodactyla; Cervidae.
CGCGGGCUGCGCGGUGGGCGUCUCGCCCCGGUGACGCGCGGAGAGACCGGGAGACGGGCUCCUGGAGCUCAGAUGGGGAAGCUGAACCACUGGAAUUACGCAUCAAGUUAACGGGCUUGUCUGAACUUGCAGCUGUUGGAAGCGGAGCUCCAGCUUGAAUUCGGUUCCAGUCUGUUAUUCUUGCAACUUGAGGCAGGAGGAUGGGCUGAGGCAAGUUCUGCAGGAGAUGAAAGCUUUAGACGAGCAAAACCUACCUGAUGUGUAAGUUGGAAUAACGCAAAGUCAAGUGGACGAGAUGAUUUGAUCACAGCCAUCAAGUUUCGACACUGUUCUUUGCUAAGAAGUCAGCGCUGCGCUGGAGCCUGCCUGUAUCCCCUUGCAGUGGUUUGUUUGCCUCCGGAACCAAAUCAAAUCCACGUGUUACCUUCUGGUGCUUCAGUUGUAAGCCUCUCCUGAUCAAGACAACUUCUGAUCCAAUGCUGUAUUAAUGUUCUAGGCAUGACCGGCUGCUUCGGAUUAGAGCCCUCAGGUGGGGUUAUGGCAGUGUCUUGCCAAGUGCUUUACAAUUUCACAUGUCUGCUGAAGACGUGGACUGGUUCAGUGGUUACAAAAUGUCCCUUGCUACCAUGAGGUCAUUGGCAGGAGACCAAGGUUUGGACCUCACACAGGAUGUGAAACCUCCAAAAAGCCUAUAUAUAGAAUUGAUGCUGAAUUUGCAUCUGAUACCUUUAGAGUGUCUCCUCGAGGAUCUGCAGAUGGGUCAAAUGUGUAUGAUGACCAAAUUUUGAAAACAAAAGCACAAUAUAAGCAGAUUUUGAAGGAAAAAUAUAUGAUUUAGAAAGAUAAGCAGUUGUCACCAAAACCACAGGAGAGCUUUUCAAGGCUUGAGGUGAUGUCUGCUGAAAGGGUCACAGCUGAGGGGAAAAAUGUCCAUCAGAUUUGUCAACGUGAAGGUCACUGGCGGCCUCAGCAGGAGCACUCGAUGAUGUCUGAAGAUACACAGGGUUGAAGAGCUAGAGGUGAGAAAGACAGAAUUAACACCUUUAAAAGGUGAGGGUUCCUGGGACUUCCCUGGUGGUCCAGUGGUUAAGACUCUGAGCUUCCACUGCAAGGGGCAAUCUGGGGGGGCUGGAAAAAAAGAUGAGGGUUUCCAUCCCUCCUAUCUAUAUGCAACAGAAACUAACUUUUGAUUUUCAAAAUAAAGUAAAAUUUGCAUGUGUGAUAAAAUUCAAGUAAGCCUUUUCUAAAUUAUCUUAAGCACAACAACAUUAAUUUAUUGCCACUUUUCAUUGAAAUGACCUUUCCUAUUCCUAUUCUUCUUGGCUGGCUCUUGAAGUGCAUCCCUGGUUUGUCUGUUAGGUAACUUAGCAGGGUCCGGAGACACACAAGAGGGGAGAACUGGGGGCAGGGUGCCUGAAGAAGGGAGAUUUGUGCUUUUUCACUUAUUUAUUUAUUUUUAAUGAGGAAGGUUUUUCAAGUUUAUAGGCUACAGAUAGAGACCCAAAGACUUGGAGGCUAAAAAUGAAAGUGAUAAGGACUAAUCAACGAAACAACAGGGAGGAAGAUGGAGGUAUCCAGAGCACAGGGGGAGCAGCUGAGGGUGUGGAGUGACCUCCCGUGUGCUGCAGAGACAGAGGUGCCCCCUCUGAAUGCAGAGGCUGCCGCAGUGUGGGACGGUGGAGCAUGAGGU